Molecule: transfer-messenger RNA, 356 nt
Filed under: bacterium
Lineage: Bacteria
Also listed under: 1 other name
Description: JACNLC01 sp014381725 Standard tmRNA
Rfam family: transfer-messenger RNA
About the family: Bacterial tmRNA, also known as 10Sa RNA or SsrA, is named for its dual tRNA and mRNA-like properties. Its role is to liberate the mRNA from a stalled ribosome.
Source: RNAcentral
GGGGGUGACUGGUUUCGACGGGUAAGCAAGGGCUUUCAGUGGCAUGUCGAGGAUUCUCGGUAACCUCGGAAAUCUUCCGGGAACACAAGUUAAAUGCCGAUUAUGGCUACGCUGCAGCCGCUUAACUGACGGUUGCUGUCUCCUAACGGGCUUGUCUGCCGCCUGUUAACGAGACAUCAUCUUGUGCAGACUGGUUUCACUCACUGUCUGGAUGAAUGAAACGAGAACUACAGACUGGUCUGAUUAUAGUUGGGUUAUUUGCGAAAAUCAGAUAAGACUUAAAAAAUGACCUAAGCAUGUAGAUGCUGAUUGAUCUCCUUAUUCGGACGCGAGUUCAAUUCUCGCCACCUCCACAA